This 431-nucleotide ribosomal RNA is filed under the name uncultured bacterium. Its description in RNAcentral is "bacterial SSU rRNA". It matches the Rfam family "Bacterial small subunit ribosomal RNA", at positions 917 to 1350 of the family's 1533-position model. The record is from RNAcentral.
GGGCCCGCACAAGCGGUGGAGUAUGUGGUUUAAUUCGAUGCAACGCGAAGAACCUUACCAGGGUUUGACAUCCUGCGAAUCUCUUGGAAACGAGAGAGUGCCUUCGGGAGCGCAGUGACAGGUGGUGCAUGGCUGUCGUCAGCUCGUGUCGUGAGAUGUUGGGUUAAGUCCCGCAACGAGCGCAACCCACGUCUUUAGUUGCCAGCAUUUAGUUGGGCACUCUAAUGGGACUGCCGGUGAUAAGCCGGAGGAAGGUGGGGAUGACGUCAAGUCCUCAUGGCCCUUAUGGGCUGGGCUACACACGUGCUACAAUGGCGGCGACAGAGGGUUGCGAGCUCGCGAGGGCAAGCUAAUCCCCAAAAGCCGUCUCAGUUCGGAUUGUUCUCUGCAACUCGAGAGCAUGAAGGUGGAAUCGCUAGUAAUCGCAGAUC